GUACUCGUAGCUCAGAGGCAGAGCGGCGCCCUGUUAAGGCGAUUGUCGGGAUUUCGAAAUUCCCCGGGUACGCCA
Molecule: transfer RNA, 75 nt
Filed under: marine sediment metagenome
Description: tRNA-Asn
Rfam family: tRNA
About the family: Transfer RNA (tRNA) molecules are approximately 80 nucleotides in length. Their secondary structure includes four short double-helical elements and three loops (D, anti-codon, and T loops). Further hydrogen bonds mediate the characteristic L-shaped molecular structure. tRNAs have two regions of fundamental functional importance: the anti-codon, which is responsible for specific mRNA codon recognition, and the 3' end, to which the tRNAs corresponding amino acid is attached (by aminoacyl-tRNA synthetases). tRNAs cope with the degeneracy of the genetic code in two manners: having more than one tRNA (with a specific anti-codon) for a particular amino acid; and 'wobble' base-pairing, i.e. permitting non-standard base-pairing at the 3rd anti-codon position.
Source: RNAcentral